CUGUGGUCUGCCUUUCAGGUAGUCGGUAAUCCAGGAGACUGUAGACGCACCGACACCCAUCACCCGCAGCUUCUCACCUAGUAGCAGUGGCUGGAUGGUGUUGAAUGCACUGGAGAAAUCAAAAAAUCUGCUCGCUGCAGAAGAUAGAUGACAGCAUUGUCCACUCCCAGACGAGGCUGGUAGGCAAACUGCAGAGGGUCCA
Molecule: long non-coding RNA, 202 nt
Organism: Etheostoma cragini (Arkansas darter)
Lineage: Eukaryota; Metazoa; Chordata; Actinopteri; Perciformes; Percidae
Exons: 3
Source: RefSeq, a predicted model, not a curated record